UACGUAGGUGGCAAGCGUUGUCCGGAUUUACUGGGCGUAAAGAGCGCGCAGGCGGUCGUUCAAGUCGCGUGUGAAAGCCCCCGGCUCAACUGGGGAGGGUCACGCGAUACUGAUCGACUCGAAGGCAGGAGAGGGUAGUGGAAUUCCCGGUGUAGUGGUGAAAUGCGUAGAUAUCGGGAGGAACACCAGUGGCGAAGGCGGCUUUCUGGUCUGCUCUUGACGCUGAGGCGCGAAAGCUAGGGUAGCAAACGGG
This 253-nucleotide ribosomal RNA is filed under the name uncultured bacterium. Its description in RNAcentral is "partial 16S ribosomal RNA". It matches the Rfam family "Bacterial small subunit ribosomal RNA", at positions 524 to 776 of the family's 1533-position model. The record is from RNAcentral.